UGCUCGAGGCCUCUCUUGCCGGCAAUUACGACAGGCCACUGGAAGUACGACAUCGAGGCGGUGCCAGGAAGGGCUGACGUCACCGUUCGGCCUGUGUGUGCCUGCGGGUGCCCCGGGGAGGGUGGAGCGGAGUCGCGUGGUGGACUGAGGGCGUUAUCCUGCUAAGGGUGUUGGUGACGGUUUACUUCAUUAAGUGUGUAGCUGUGAACUGUCAGGGCAAGAUUAUGACUGAACUAGAGGAGAACGUCACCCAGAGAUCUUGGACUUGGAGCUGGAUGCAGGCACUGAUGAGACUCUGGGUUUCCCUGUUGGGGGAGAGGGACCCUGUGGGAAGAUUACGUGAAGAGGGAGAGGGACCCUGUUGUCAUAAUGUCCCUAUUAUCUGAAGAGAUGACUCCAGUCUCACCUGUCACCCGACUGCAACCAGAUGAGAAGCCCCAGGUGAGACCAGUGGAAGAACUGCCUACAUGAUCUCAGACAACCUACAGAAUCACAAAAGGGGGUCAUUCCAGUGCUUUCUAUUGAUGAAACUUAAAAUUCUGCCACCUGAUGACGGAGAACUUUUUGCAGGAUCCAAGUCCAGUAUCACAAAGUGCAGGGCAAAGAAGAGUGGAUUUGGAAUGGAGAGCCAAUAAAUUGAUAAUUUGCACACCC
Panthera uncia (snow leopard) is the source of this 654-nucleotide long non-coding RNA. RefSeq lists it as uncharacterized. The transcript has 4 exons. NCBI's taxonomy places the organism in Eukaryota, Metazoa, Chordata, Mammalia, Carnivora, Felidae. The record is from RefSeq and is a predicted model, not a curated record.